UUUUUACUGUAAUCUAAUUUUCAGUACUGGACCAUGUGAACUGGAUUGAAAACCACUAAAUUUGAAACUAUUUUGAACCAGAGAAGACAACUAGAACUUACAAACUAUGGAUUUUGGAGGGUAACACUUGCUGCAAAUUUGCUCAAGAACACACUUUGGAGAAACAGACUUUGAUGCAAGACGCUGUGGCUAAUGAGCUCUCAUCAAGUCAAACUCAGAUCUCUGUCCAAUGUAAGGAGAACCCUGAGGGUCAAGACGGAAUAGUG
This is a long non-coding RNA of Cyprinus carpio (common carp), 266 nucleotides long. RefSeq lists it as uncharacterized. The record is from RefSeq and is a predicted model, not a curated record. Lineage: Eukaryota; Metazoa; Chordata; Actinopteri; Cypriniformes; Cyprinidae. The transcript has 3 exons.